This 223-nucleotide ribosomal RNA is filed under the name uncultured bacterium. RNAcentral's name for it is "partial 16S ribosomal RNA". It matches the Rfam family "Bacterial small subunit ribosomal RNA", at positions 129 to 354 of the family's 1533-position model. The record is from RNAcentral.
CCUUGGAGUGGGAUAACAGCUGGAAACAGCUGCUAAUACCGCAUGAUGCAGUUGAGUCGCAUGGCUCUGACUGCCAAAGAUUAUCGCUCUGAGAUGGACUCGCGUCUGAUUAGCUAGUUGGUGGGGCAACGGCCCACCAAGGCGACGAUCAGUAGCCGGACUGAGAGGUUGGCCGGCCACAUUGGGACUGAGACACGGCCCAGACUCCUACGGAAGGCAGCAG